UCGUAUGCAAACAACAAAAUGGUUUAUUACGAAACUAUCGAAUAUACCUGACUAUAAGCAGAAACAUCGCAGCACUUGGGUCAAUCAUGGAUGUGCUUUACACGAAACUGCUUGUCGUAGUCGGAAUAGCUGUGCCAGUCGUGACCAAUCUUAACCACAGAGUACCAGUUGCUCCGGAUCAGAUCAUGGCAACAUUGUUGAACCGACAUAAAAGUGAAAAAUCUGAAGAUAACAAAACCGGAACCGCACAAAUUCGCCACAAGAAGACGGACAACCCUUUUCGCGCGGUAAGAAAGUCGGAGAAAGGGAAAGAAUAUCGCUCAGUUCGUCGAGAGGGUCGGCGUCCACCUUCGCCUUUGUUUUUCUCGCGGAUCUAACGAGGAUUUAUCGUUGCUACAACUACCUGCGUCCUCGUCAGUCACCACCACCAUUACGUAACAUCGGUGUGAAAAAUCUCUCGAUGCUGGAAAAAAACGCGGAAUCUCGGCAGAAGUCGCGAGGAUAAGGCAACGGCGCUGUCUCCCGCAGGAGCCAAUUUAGUUUGUUCAAGCAGCGACAAUCGUCAACGGUCGAGAGAAAAAUCUCUCGAUUUAUCGGUGCACUCAUCCGCCCCUGAAUCACAUCGACAAAAUCUCGGCUGAUUCGAAAGUCUGCGAUGCGGGGGAAACAAGUAGAAAAGGUCGACGGCGAUCGCGUCCUAGCGCGGCGCGACGAAGUGAAGGAAACCUUGAUAUAUCCGCCAAACACAAGGAGCUCGAACACCUCGGUGGGAUUUAUCGGGACUAUGGAUAAUGGAUGGCUUUCUGCGCGUACUACUCUCUCACUCUUUUUCUCUUUCUCUUUCUCUUUCUUUACCACACACAAGAACACUGUUUUUUUAAAUAAUACAAUACAUAACGCUGAAAAAUUCCUAGCCCUCUUCUCGCAUGCGGAACGAUAAUCGGCUACCCGAAUAAAAUAGAUAACUGGAAAGACUAUCGGUUUUAUUUGU
Molecule: long non-coding RNA, 991 nt
Organism: Nylanderia fulva
Lineage: Eukaryota; Metazoa; Arthropoda; Insecta; Hymenoptera; Formicidae
Source: RefSeq, a predicted model, not a curated record